This 465-nucleotide ribosomal RNA is filed under the name uncultured bacterium. Its description in RNAcentral is "partial 16S ribosomal RNA". It matches the Rfam family "Bacterial small subunit ribosomal RNA", at positions 28 to 507 of the family's 1533-position model. The record is from RNAcentral.
GAUGAACGCUGGCGGCGUGCUUAACACAUGCAAGUCGAACGGAAAGGCUCCUGCUUGCAGGGGUACUCGAGUGGCGAACGGGUGAGUAACACGUGGGUGAUCUGCCCUGCACUUCGGGAUAAGCCUGGGAAACUGGGUCUAAUACCGGAUAGGACCACAUUUUGGAUGGUGUGGUGGAAAGUUUUUCGGUAUGGGAUGAGCUCGCGGCCUAUCAGCUUGUUGGUGGGGUAAUGGCCUACCAAGGCGUCGACGGGUAGCCGGCCUGAGAGGGUGUACGGCCACAUUGGGACUGAGAUACGGCCCAGACUCCUACGGGAGGCAGCAGUGGGGAAUAUUGCACAAUGGGCGCAAGCCUGAUGCAGCGACGCCGCGUGGGGGAUGACGGCCUUCGGGUUGUAAACUCCUUUCGCUAGGGACGAAGCGCAAGUGACGGUACCUGGAGAAGAAGCACCAGCUAACUACGUG